RNAcentral lists this ribosomal RNA (447 nucleotides) under uncultured bacterium. Its description in RNAcentral is "SSU rRNA". It matches the Rfam family "Bacterial small subunit ribosomal RNA", at positions 26 to 518 of the family's 1533-position model. The record is from RNAcentral.
AGAGCGAACGCUGGCGGCAGGCCUAACACAUGCAAGUCGAGCGGCCGUAGCAAUACGGCAGCGGCAGACGGGAGAGUAACACGUGGGAACGUACCCUUCGGUUCGGAAUAACUCAGGGAAACUUGAGCUAAUACCGGAUACGUCCGUAAGGAGAAAGAUUUAUCGCCGAGGGAUCGGCCCGCGUCCGAUUAGCUAGUUGGUGGGGUAAUGGCCCACCAAGGCGACGAUCGGUAGCUGGUCUGAGAGGAUGAUCAGCCUCACUGGGACUGAGACACGGCCCAGACUCCUACGGGAGGCAGCAGUGGGGAAUAUGGACAAUGGGCGCAAGCCUGAUCCAGCCAUGCCGCGUGGGUGAUGAAGGCCCUAGGGUUGUAAAGCCCUUUCGGCGGGGAAGAUAAUGACGGUACCCGCAGAAGAAGCCCCGGCUAACUUCGUGCCAGCAGCCGC